GAUGUGAGUGUGAUCUGGCUGCAACAUCACCCCAUUGAUCGCCAAGGUUGAUUCGGCUGAUCUGGCUGUCUAGGUGGAUGUCCCCUUUCUCCCUCACCACUC
RNAcentral lists this small RNA (102 nucleotides) under Fukomys damarensis (Damara mole-rat). Its description in RNAcentral is "7SK RNA (ENSFDAG00000001524.1)". It matches the Rfam family "7SK RNA", at positions 2 to 107 of the family's 331-position model. Rfam says of the family: 7SK was discovered as an abundant small nuclear RNA in the mid-70s but a possible function has only recently been suggested. Two independent studies have found that 7SK RNA binds the CDK9/cyclin T complex (known as elongation factor P-TEFb). The record is from RNAcentral. Lineage: Eukaryota; Metazoa; Chordata; Mammalia; Rodentia; Bathyergidae.